RNAcentral lists this ribosomal RNA (314 nucleotides) under uncultured eukaryote. RNAcentral describes it as "partial 18S ribosomal RNA". It matches the Rfam family "Eukaryotic small subunit ribosomal RNA", at positions 1470 to 1796 of the family's 1831-position model. The record is from RNAcentral.
CCCUUAGAUGUCCUGGGCUGCACGCGCGCUACACUGAUGUGUCCAGUAAGCACCUAACCUCUUCCGAAAGGAACGGGUAACCUUUGCAAAGCACAUCGUGAUGGGGAUAGAUUAUUGCAAUUAUUAGUCUUGAACGAGGAAUUCCUAGUAAGCACAAGUCAUCAGCUUGUGUUGAUUACGUCCCUGCCCUUUGUACACACCGCCCGUCGCUCCUACCGAUGAAUCGUCCGGUGAAGUUCACAGAGUGGCGGUUCGUGGAGUUGCUCGCGAAGUGAAAUGGACCUCACGAUUUAGAGGAAGGAGAAGUCGUAACA